AACGAACGCUGGCGGCGUGCUUAACACAUGCAAGUCGAACGGAAAGGCCCUGCUUUUGUGGGGUGCUCGAUUGGCGAACGGGUGAGUAACACGUGAGUAACCUGCCCUUGUCUUUGGGAUAACUUCAGGAAACUUGGGCUAAUACCGGAUAGGAUCUCCUGCUGCAUGUUGGGGGUUGGUAAGUUUCGGCGGUUGUGGAUGGACUCGCGGCUUAUCAGCUUGUUUGUGGGGUAGUUGCUUACCAAGGGUUUGACGGGUAGCCGGCCUGAGAGGGUGACCGGCGACAUUGGGACUGAGAGACGGCGCAGACUCCUACGGGAGGCAGCAGUGGGGAAUAUUGCACAAUGGGCGGAAGCGUGAUGCAGCAACGCCGCGUGCGGGAUGACGGCCUUCGGGUUGUAAACAGAUUUCGAAUGUGACGAAGCGUGAGUGACGGUAAUGGGUAAAGAAGCACCGGCUAACUACGUG
This 468-nucleotide ribosomal RNA is filed under the name uncultured bacterium. RNAcentral's name for it is "partial 16S ribosomal RNA". It matches the Rfam family "Bacterial small subunit ribosomal RNA", at positions 28 to 507 of the family's 1533-position model. The record is from RNAcentral.